UACGUAGGGUGCGAGCGUUGUCCGGAAUUAUUGGGCGUAAAGAGCUCGUAGGCGGUUUGUCGCGUCGGCCGUGAAAACUUGGGGCUUAACCCCGAGCCUGCGGUCGAUACGGGCAGACUUGAGUUCGGCAGGGGAGACUGGAAUUCCUGGUGUAGCGGUGAAAUGCGCAGAUAUCAGGAGGAACACCGGUGGCGAAGGCGGGUCUCUGGGCCGAUACUGACGCUGAGACGCGAAAGCGUGGGGAGCGAACAGG
RNAcentral lists this ribosomal RNA (253 nucleotides) under uncultured bacterium. Its description in RNAcentral is "partial 16S ribosomal RNA". It matches the Rfam family "Bacterial small subunit ribosomal RNA", at positions 524 to 776 of the family's 1533-position model. The record is from RNAcentral.